UUUGACUCAACGCGGGAAAUCUUACCAGGUCCGGACACACUGAGGAUUGACAGGAAGUAUCGUCUUUUGAAUUCUUUAAGGAUAUGUCGUUUUUAAUGACAUCUUUUAGAUGGAUGAUUCGUGUAAAUAUGCUAGUUCUUUCAUGAUUAUGUGAUAGGUGGUGCAUGGCCGUUCUUAGUUCGUGGAGUGAUCUGUCUGCUUAAUUGCGUUUCACUAAGGCCCCAAAGUUAGCAAAUUAUCAAUCGUUACAGAGUCGACCCCUCACCUUUGAGUGCGCGUCCUAACUUGUAGUACAUGGUGUAAAUGGAUUUGUUUUGGGUACCCAGAAAGCAACGAACGUGACCGCAACGUCUUGUUGUCUCUCUUUGACAGUUAUGGGUUAUCCCAGUCAUGUGUUUAUACUUUUAUGUGUAAAUACGUACGACACAGAGACUAGAUACCAA
This 443-nucleotide ribosomal RNA is filed under the name Neogloboquadrina incompta. RNAcentral's name for it is "bacterial SSU rRNA". It matches the Rfam family "Eukaryotic small subunit ribosomal RNA", at positions 1194 to 1413 of the family's 1831-position model. Lineage: Eukaryota; Foraminifera; Rotaliida; Globorotaliidae. The record is from RNAcentral.